CACGAGGUGAAACUGUUUGUAACAUUAUUUGCCUAACAAAGUGAGGAGUGUGUGCGGGUAAGUGUAGACUGGUAGGUGUAGACUGGUAAGUGUAGACUGGUAGGUGUAGACUGGUAAGUGUAGACUGGUAAGUGUAGACUGGUAGGUGUAGACUGGUAAGUGUAGACUGGUAGGUGUAGACUGGUAAGAGUAGACUGGUAGGUGUAGACUGGUAAGUGUAGACUGGUAGGUGUAGACUGGUAGGUGUAGACUGGUAAGUGUAGACUGGUAAGUGUAGACUGGUAAGUGUAGACUGGUAGGUGUAGACUGGUAAGUGUAGACUGGUAGGUGUAGACUGGUAAGUGUAGACUGGUAAGUGUAGACUGGUAGCUGUAUGACAGUGGUAUGUAAACAGUCGAACCAGACAAUAAAGUCAUCCAUAUCAUGAGAGUGAGUGAGUGAGUAUGGUUUGAUGUCGCUUUUAGCAAUAUUCAAGCAAUAU
Molecule: long non-coding RNA, 481 nt
Organism: Haliotis rubra (blacklip abalone)
Lineage: Eukaryota; Metazoa; Mollusca; Gastropoda; Lepetellida; Haliotidae
Exons: 3
Source: RefSeq, a predicted model, not a curated record